Molecule: ribosomal RNA, 103 nt
Filed under: Chrysemys picta bellii (western painted turtle)
Lineage: Eukaryota; Metazoa; Chordata; Testudines; Emydidae
Source: RNAcentral
UACUACAGCCAUACUUCUUGCCAAUCCUCACAAGCCAAACAGGGUUGAACUAGGUAAGUGCUUGAAUUGGAGACUGCCAAGGAACACCAGGGAGAUGCAGGAA